GGGAAAGGGGCACUCACUGACUGACAGGGAGUUGGACGUGGUGUGGACACAGCGCUUGGUGCCAAAGGAGUCCUAAACUUUCUAGCUGCCACAGGUCCUGGAAGGAUGUGGACUGUCUCCGAGUUCUCCUUUUCACAAUGUUCAUGGCUGACUGACACAAUCUACUCAACCUGCAGUAUUCAUUUAUAGCAAUACAAAAGGACCAAGACAGAGAGGAACACAUUAAACCAUGCCAUGGAAAUGAAGAUGGCUUCAGUUUCAGGGUGAACAACCCAGUCACUUUAACAGGAAAAUUCUGAGAGAAAAAGAAACAGAGCUAAAAGGAAUAUACACAGGAGGCUUUCGGCUGCAAGCUGUUUUGGAGGCGCUACGUGAGCGGCAGUCACCUGGGAAGGGAGAGUGUUUUCAUGUUCAAAUGCAAACACCUGAGCUUAUCAGCAGCUCGACUCAAAGAAAAACCUUCUGGGCCUGGUACCCAGGGAUAAUAUGCACCUUCAACAGGCUUCCCUGGUGAGUCCUACCUUCACUAAAACCCAAAAAACACUGAUUAAAAUUGAGUGAUUACCUCCUAAAAGUAAA
Non-coding RNA from Peromyscus maniculatus bairdii (prairie deer mouse), 579 nucleotides. The record is from RefSeq and is a predicted model, not a curated record. Lineage: Eukaryota; Metazoa; Chordata; Mammalia; Rodentia; Cricetidae.